This is a non-coding RNA of Danio rerio (zebrafish), 2137 nucleotides long. The record is from RefSeq and is a predicted model, not a curated record. Lineage: Eukaryota; Metazoa; Chordata; Actinopteri; Cypriniformes; Danionidae.
UAAAAAACGCUGGGUUGGUUUUUUAACCCAAAUGCUGGGUUGAAACUGCUUGGUAACAAAAUUGGGUUGAUUCAACCCAAUUUGGGUUGUAAAUCUGUCUUAAUCUAUACCCCAGCAGUGCUAGGUUGGGAACGCGGACGUGAAAGAGAGAGCACACGUCACGUCAACAUGCAGGGACAUCAACGUGAGAAACCGCCAUUUUCUUUGCGCUGUCUUUGAGGGGAAGCGAGUGAAAUUCUGUGUGAGACGCAAGUUAUUUCGUGUGUAUUUAACAAUUUUCAUAAGAAAUAACACACUUAUUUUACUUAGUAUAAUAUACACACGCUUUUUUUUCUGUUUCUCCACCUGACGGCCGACCUGUUGCUCCACCUCACGCCCAACCUGCUGCUCUGCUUCACCGCCGACCUGUGCUCGCCUUACGGCCGAACUGUUGCUCCGAGUCCGCCUGACGACCGACCUGUUUCUCCGGACCUGUUUCUCCGCCUGACGGCCGAGCUGUUGCUCCGCCUAACGCCCGACCUGUGCUCGCCUCACGCCCGACCUGCUGCUCCGCCUUACGCCCAACCUGUUGAUCGGUGGACGGGAAAGCGCGCAUGGCAUCGGAAGGAGCUUGAAAAGUAUAAGGUGAUGACAAUGGAUAAUUGCGUGAAAAUCAAACUAAAAGAAUGUAAUCUUGAGGAGUUAAUCCCCACAUUUGAAGCACAGGAGCGAACCUUUCCUCGUUUUUAGUUCAAUUUGAAUACAAUUCAGAGGGUAAGGAUUCAAUUAAAGGUUUCUCGAUGCAUAAUGAUGCAUUUAAUGCAUAAUGCUUGUCUUAUAGUUAUUUUAUUAACAAUGAAAAUGUUAUUUUUAUGUUUGUUAUUAGGAUGGCAUGGGGGCGCAGUGGGUAGUGCUGUCGCCUCACAGCAAGAUGGUCGCUGGUUUUAGCCUCGGAUGGGUUUCCCCCCCACAGUCCAGUGACAUGCGGUGUAGGUGAAUUGGGUAAGCUAAAUUGUCCAUAGUGCGUGUGUGAAUGAGAGUGUAUGGUUGUUGCCUGGUGAUGGGUUGCAGUUGAAAGGGCAUCUGCUGCGUAAAACAUAAAAAGAUGACGGUUUUGUGAAAGUUGUGAUUUGGUCACAGCUAUGGUUUCUCAAAAUUUUAGUGAUAAGAUGCUUUAUAUAGAUAGUGAAUGCAACAAACUCUAAAUGGCCUGUAAGCCAAUUAUUUUCAUUAAAGGAGAAGUCCACUUCCAACAAAAAGAUUCAAACAUAAUGUACUCACCACCUUGUCACCCAAGUUGUUCAUGUCAUUCUUUCUUCAGUCAGAAAGAUAUUUUUUAGGAAAAUAUUUCAGCAUUUUUCUCCAUCUGCAUGGACUGAGAUUGUGCCUCAUUUUUGAAGUUUUUAAAGAAAAUUUAAAUGCGGCUUCAAAUGAUGCAAAUACGGUUGCAAACAGUCCCAGCUGAGGAAGAAGGGUCUUAUCUAUUCUCAUUAAGAAAACACAAUUAAAUACUUAAUAAUUUCAAAUGCUAAUCUUGCCUUAUAUUACUUAUUAAAAAAAAGUUCCUUAGGCAAACCUGUUGUUGCAUUAAGUCAUCUUCACUCGGGCCAAAAAAUUUUAGCAUAGUGCCAUGAUCAGUGGUUAACUAAUGCCAACACUGGCUGAUAGCUUGGUGUGUUAUGGCCUUAAUUGCUUCUAAAGGUAUUUUAUGUGUUUUAAAGUUAACUCUAAAGAUAUUUAACUUUAACACUUUUGAGUUUUUAAUCAAUCUUAAUUCUAUUUAUUUUUUCAGAUUGGGACCAAUAUUGCUGAGUAUCUUCGUCCAUUGAAUUCAAGAAUCUAUUGAGUUUCCUCAUGUUCUAAUCCUUGGAGACCACCACUUCUUUCAAGCCUUUGCUCACGUGCUGUGCCAUUUAUUAUUGCAAAGUACAUUACUUGCUAAAGUGGACGUUUGCUAUAAAGCAUUCUACAUCUUUGGUGUGAACUACCCCAAGCAGUGUUCCCUGGUGUGGCAGACUGUGGUUUAUGGACAUCCUGGGGAGGAGACACUAGCAGUAAGGGUUCUGAUAGCAUUAAUUUUUGCUGACAAACAGUAAUCAUUAAUACUGUGACCUCACUGCUUCCUUGGAUUCUGUGUUCUUUAACUUGUACUUUGGAU